CCCUCCCUCAUGCACGUCAGCAAAACAACACAUUGUGUGGUGUCCUUGCCUUAAAGUUUGCUGAGAAAAUAAUUAGGGGAGGCAAUAAACAUCAAAACCACACAGAAGGCAGUAAACAAGCUGAGGCUAGAUUUAGCCACUGCCCUCCUCUGAGAAACUGACAAUCUCAGCAACCGGUGCCACUACUGUGGGAUGGAGGAGAAGGAUGAGCAACUAUGG
Long non-coding RNA from Osmerus eperlanus (European smelt), 219 nucleotides. RefSeq lists it as uncharacterized. The record is from RefSeq and is a predicted model, not a curated record. NCBI's taxonomy places the organism in Eukaryota, Metazoa, Chordata, Actinopteri, Osmeriformes, Osmeridae. The transcript has 3 exons.